CCCCACCCCCAGCCUGGCUCGGUACAACAAGUGGCAAAAAUGUAGGCAUGAGGUUUUAUGCGCGCGCGAAGGACCGCGUGGAUCUAAAAGAUACAAGAUCCAAAGACGACGGGCGGGAGAAAGAGAGGGAGGAAAGUGUGCGGGUAUAGCGGUGGCGUUCACCGGGUGACGUCACUCGACGUGGGCGCACCCCCUCACAACACGCCGUCCUUAUUCUUCGCCGGCUCUGCACCCGCGACUGCUUCUCCAUUCUAGAGUCCGUUACUAUACACAGGCUAGUUUUGACCGCCCCUCAGGUGGCUGGUCGAAGCCGACCCGCCCGGUCGCACAAGGGGUUAAGGCGGUAAGCAGUGGCGGACAAUGUCAUUCAGCCGCGGCAGCAGGCAGGUAGGCGUCCGUACUAGAUGAUACAGCUAGGCGAGGGGGAAGGGGAAGGGAAUCUAUAGCCGCUUCAGAGGGAGGGUGAGACCAUUGACGCUAAUACCAUGCCCGAAUACAGAGAGGUGGUCAGAUAAAUGGAUAGAAGGUAGCAGCGCCAGCCAAAGACCCU
Long non-coding RNA from Diprion similis, 550 nucleotides. RefSeq lists it as uncharacterized. Lineage: Eukaryota; Metazoa; Arthropoda; Insecta; Hymenoptera; Diprionidae. The transcript is spliced from 3 exons. The record is from RefSeq and is a predicted model, not a curated record.